GACGAACGCUGGCGGCGUGCCUAAUACAUGCAAGUUGAGCGCUGAAGGUUGGUACUUGUACCAACUGGAUGAGCAGCGAACGGGUGAGUAACGCGUGGGGAAUCUGCCUUUGAGCGGGGGACAACAUUUGGAAACGAAUGCUAAUACCGCAUAAAAUCUUUAAACACAAGUUUUAAGUUUGAAAGAUGCAAUUGCAUCACUCAAAGAUGAUCCCGCGUUGUAUUAGCUAGUUGGUGAGGUAAAGGCUCACCAAGGCGAUGAUACAUAGCCGACCUGAGAGGGUGAUCGGCCACAUUGGGACUGAGACACGGCCCAAACUCCUACGGGAGGCAGCAGUAGGGAAUCUUCGGCAAUGGACGAAAGUCUGACCGAGCAACGCCGCGUGAGUGAAGAAGGUUGUCGGGUCGUAAAACUCUGUUGGUAGAGAAGAACGUUGGUGAGAGUGGAAAGCUCAUCAAGUGACGGUAACUACACAGAAAGGGACGGCUAACUACGUG
RNAcentral lists this ribosomal RNA (497 nucleotides) under uncultured bacterium. RNAcentral describes it as "partial 16S ribosomal RNA". It matches the Rfam family "Bacterial small subunit ribosomal RNA", at positions 28 to 507 of the family's 1533-position model. The record is from RNAcentral.